RNAcentral lists this ribosomal RNA (291 nucleotides) under uncultured bacterium. RNAcentral's name for it is "partial 16S ribosomal RNA". It matches the Rfam family "Archaeal small subunit ribosomal RNA", at positions 455 to 747 of the family's 1478-position model. The record is from RNAcentral.
GUGCAGCGCCGCGGUAAUACCGGCAGCCCAAGUGAUGGCCGCUGUUAUUGGGCCUAAAGCGUCCGUAGCUGGCCGCACAAGUCCGUCGGGAAAUCCGCCCGCUCAACGGGCGGCCGUCCGGCGGAACCUGUGUGGCUUGGGACCGGGAGGCCUGAGGGGUACGAUCGGGGUAGGAGUGAAAUCCUGUAAUCCCGCUCGGACCGCCGAUGGGGAAAGCACUUCGAGAAAACGGAUCCGACAGUGAGGGACGAAAGCCAGGGUCUCCAACCGGAUUAGAAACCCGAGUAGUCC